RNAcentral lists this long non-coding RNA (369 nucleotides) under Malus domestica (apple). RNAcentral describes it as "long non-coding RNA (MDOM_LNC012800)". Lineage: Eukaryota; Viridiplantae; Streptophyta; Magnoliopsida; Rosales; Rosaceae. The record is from RNAcentral.
AAACUUGUAAAUAAGUCCAAGUUCACUACCCUAACCAAUAUGGCCGGCCAUUAGAAUAUUUUGGACUAAUUGGGCCUUUGUGAAUCAUUAUUCAUUAAGUUGUCAUACAACUUAUGUUAAUGGGCUUGACGUUCGAAGCCCAUUGGGCCUUAAGGUCCAAAACUAUCCCGAGGUCUUUAACGAACUUAUUCGUUUGAUUAAUUAACAUAUUAAUUAAUCCUUACCAUAAAUAAAUGAUUAAACCAUUUAAUCAUUCUUACUCAUCCCCAUUGUUUCUUCAAUCUCCUCCUUACACGGUGUGCAAUCCAUUAGGUUCCUUUUAGCGAGGCAGUGGGCGAUUAAAACCAUUUUACAUCGACUGUGAAUUGA